AAACCAACAGGGAUUGCCUUAGUAACUGCGAGUGAAGCGGCAAGAGCUCAUAUUUGAAAUCUGGCACCUUCGGUGUCCGAGUUGUAAUUUGUAGAAGCAUCUUUUGGAUUGGUCCUUGCAUAUGUUCCUUGGAACAGGACAUCAUAGAGGGUGAGAAUCCCGUUCAUGGUGGGGAAUCCAAUUCUUUGUAAAGUGCUUUCGAAGAGUCGAGUUGUUUGGGAAUGCAGCUCUAAGUGGGUGGUAAAUUCCAUCUAAAGCUAAAUAUUGGCGAGAGACCGAUAGCGAACAAGUACAGUGAUGGAAAGAUGAAAAGAACUCCGAAAGGAGAGUGAAAAAGGACGUGAAAUUGUUGAAAGGGAAGUGCUUGAGAUCAGUCUUAAGGUUUAGUGAUCAGUCUUCCUUUUGGUUGGUGCACUCACUAUUUCUUAGGCCAACAUCAGUUUUGGCGGCAGGAUAAUGACAUUGGAAUGUGGCUCUUUCGGGAGUGUUAUAGCCUUUGUUGAUACUGCCUGCUUAGACUGAGGACUGCGCUUUUGCUAGGAUGUUGGCAUAAUGAUCUUAAGCAGC
This 567-nucleotide ribosomal RNA is filed under the name Lipomyces starkeyi. Its description in RNAcentral is "partial 28S ribosomal RNA". It matches the Rfam family "Eukaryotic large subunit ribosomal RNA", at positions 62 to 648 of the family's 3401-position model. Lineage: Eukaryota; Fungi; Ascomycota; Lipomycetes; Lipomycetales; Lipomycetaceae. The record is from RNAcentral.